This 492-nucleotide ribosomal RNA is filed under the name uncultured bacterium. RNAcentral describes it as "partial 16S ribosomal RNA". It matches the Rfam family "Bacterial small subunit ribosomal RNA", at positions 29 to 507 of the family's 1533-position model. The record is from RNAcentral.
AGUGAACGCUGGCGGUAGGCCUAACACAUGCAAGUCGAACGGCAGCACCGUAAGAGCUUGCUCUUACGGGUGGCGAGUGGCGGACGGGUGCGGAAUACAUCGGAAUCUACUUUUUCGUGGGGGAUAACGUAGGGAAAUUUCCGCUAAUACCGCAUACGACCUACGGGUGAAAGCAGGGGAUCUUCGGACCUUGCGCGAUUGAAUGAGCCGAUGUAGGAUUCGCUAGUUUGCGGGGUAAAGGCCCACCAAGGCGACGAUCGGUAGCUGGUCUGAGAGGGAGUUCAGCUAGACGGGAACUGAGAAUCGUUCCAGACUCCGACAGUGGGCAGCAGUGGGGAAUAUUGGACAAUGGGGGCAUGCCUGAUCCAGCCAUACCGCGUGAGUGAAGAUGGCCCUCGGGUGGGAAAGCCAUGAUGGUGUGAGAGUUGUGCAGCAGGUUAAUACCCCACGGUUCUGACGGUACCCGAAGAAUAAGCACCGGCUAACUUCGUG